RNAcentral lists this long non-coding RNA (293 nucleotides) under Brassica rapa (field mustard). RNAcentral's name for it is "long non-coding RNA (BRAP_LNC005285)". Lineage: Eukaryota; Viridiplantae; Streptophyta; Magnoliopsida; Brassicales; Brassicaceae. The record is from RNAcentral.
UCUCUUGUGGUCUAUUUAAUGGGUGAGAACGGUCUUCAAUUCUCGAGAAUUUUGAUUACUAGUUAGCGGAAUGCGCAUGGGAAUUGGGUCGAGCAAAGCUAGUUAGGAAUUGUUAAAUUUGGGUUAUUUUGUUCGAGACGUUUUGUAAUUUAAUCUUUAUUCCUGGUUUCGAGGUGAUACAUAUAUAAAAAACUCAAAAUCAGUGCGACCCAAGUUGGACUAUAAUGGUAUUGACCUUUAUAUAUGGAUUCCUAUCAUGAUAUGCAGUGUGUGUUGGAUGCAACCGGUGUAAC